Molecule: ribosomal RNA, 468 nt
Filed under: uncultured bacterium
Lineage: Bacteria
Description: partial 16S ribosomal RNA
Rfam family: Bacterial small subunit ribosomal RNA
Source: RNAcentral
GACGAACGCUGGCGGCGUGCUUAACACAUGCAAGUCGAACGGAAAGGCCCUGCUUUUGUGGGGUGCUCGAGUGGCGAACGGGUGAGUAACACGUGAGUAACCUGCCCUUGACUUUGGGAUAACUUCAGGAAACUGGGGCUAAUACCGGAUAGGAGCUCCUGCUGCAUGGUGGGGGUUGGAAAGUUUCGGCGGUUGGGGAUGGACUCGCGGCUUAUCAGCUUGUUGGUGGGGUAGUGGCUUACCAAGGCUUUGACGGGUAGCCGGCCUGAGAGGGUGACCGGCCACAUUGGGACUGAGAUACGGCCCAGACUCCUACGGGAGGCAGCAGUGGGGAAUAUUGCACAAUGGGCGGAAGCCUGAUGCAGCAACGCCGCGUGCGGGAUGACGGCCUUCGGGGUGUAAACCGCUUUAGCCUGUGACGAAGCGUGAGUGACGGUAAUGGGUAAAGAAGCACCGGCUAACUACGUG